GCGUUCGUAGCUCAGCUGGAUAGAGCGUCUCCCUCCGGAGGAGAAGGUCUGGGGUUCGAAUCCCCACGAGCGCACCA
This 77-nucleotide transfer RNA is filed under the name Holosporaceae bacterium. RNAcentral's name for it is "tRNA-Arg". It matches the Rfam family "tRNA". Rfam says of the family: Transfer RNA (tRNA) molecules are approximately 80 nucleotides in length. Their secondary structure includes four short double-helical elements and three loops (D, anti-codon, and T loops). Lineage: Bacteria; Pseudomonadati; Pseudomonadota; Alphaproteobacteria; Holosporales; Holosporaceae. The record is from RNAcentral.